GGUGCCUACGGGGCGCAGCAGUGAGGAAUAUUGGUCAAUGGGCGGGAGCCUGAACCAGCCAAGUCGCGUGAAGGAAGAAGGUACUUAGUAUUGUAAACUUCUUUUGUCGGGGAACAAAGGCGGAGACGCGUCUCCGGAUGAGUGUACCCGAAGAAAAAGCAUCGGCUAACUCCGUGCCAGCAGCCGCGGUAAUACGGAGGAUGCGAGCGUUAUCCGGAUUUAUUGGGUUUAAAGGGUGCGCAGGCGGGAGAUCAAGUCAGCGGUAAAAAGUCGGGGCUCAAACCCGGCCGGCCGCUGAAAAUGGG
Molecule: ribosomal RNA, 305 nt
Filed under: uncultured bacterium
Lineage: Bacteria
Description: bacterial SSU rRNA
Rfam family: Bacterial small subunit ribosomal RNA
Source: RNAcentral